GACGAACGCUGGCGGCGUGCUUAACACAUGCAAGUCGAACGGAAAGGCCCUGCUUGCAGGGUACUCGAGUGGCGAACGGGUGAGUAACACGUGGGUGAUCUGCCCUGCACUUCGGGAUAAGCCUGGGAAACUGGGUCUAAUACCGGAUAGGAGCCAUUUUUAGUGUGAUGGUUGGAAAGUUUUUUCGGUGUAGGAUGAGCUCGCGGCCUAUCAGCUUGUUGGUGGGGUAAUGGCCUACCAAGGCGGCGACGGGUAGCCGGCCUGAGAGGGUGGACGGCCACAUUGGGACUGAGAGACGGCCCAGACUCCUACGGGAGGCAGCAGUGGGGAAUAUUGCACAAUGGGCGCAAGCCUGAUGCAGCGACGCCGCGUGGGGGAUGACGGCCUUCGGGUUGUAAACUCCGUUCGCUAGGGACGAAGCUUUUUGUGACGGUACCUAGAGAAGAAGCACCGGCUAACUACGUG
This 465-nucleotide ribosomal RNA is filed under the name uncultured bacterium. Its description in RNAcentral is "partial 16S ribosomal RNA". It matches the Rfam family "Bacterial small subunit ribosomal RNA", at positions 28 to 507 of the family's 1533-position model. The record is from RNAcentral.